AGGACGAACGCUGGCGGCGUGCUUAACACAUGCAAGUCGAACGAGGCAGCAAUGCCUAGUGGCGGACGGGUGAGUAACGCGUAGGUAACCUGCCUUAUAGUGGGGGAUACCCAGCCGAAAGGUUGGCUAAUACCGCAUAAGCUCUUCUCUUGGAAUAGGGAUGAGGAAAGAUUUAUUGCUAUAAGAGGGGCCUGCGUCCGAUUAGCUAGUUGGUGAGGUAAUGGCUCACCAAGGCGACGAUCGGUAGCUGGUCUGAGAGGACGAUCAGCCACACUGGAACUGAGACACGGUCCAGACUCCUACGGGAGGCAGCAGUGGGGAAUUUUCCGCAAUGGGCGAAAGCCUGACGGAGCAACGCCGCGUGGAUGAUGAAGUCUUUCGGGACGUAAAAUCCUUUCAGCAGGGACGAAGCGAGUGACGGUACCUGCAGAAGAAGCAUCGGCUAACUACGUGCCAGCAGCCGCGGUAAUACGUAGGGUGCAAGCGUUGUCCGGAAUUAUUGGGCGUAAAGAGCUCGUAGGCGGUCUGUCGCGUCGGAUGUGAAAACCCAGGGCUCAACCCUGGGCCUGCAUUCGAUACGGGCAGACUAGAGUUCGGUAGGGGAGACUGGAAUUCCUGGUGUAGCGGUGAAAUGCGCAGAUAUCAGGAGGAACACCGGUGGCGAAGGCGGGUCUCUGGGCCGAAACUGACGCUGAGGAGCGAAAGCGUGGGGAGCAAACAGGAUUAGAUACCCCGGUAGUCCUGGCAGUAAACGGUGCGCGUUUGGUGUGGGAGGAUUCGACCCCUUCUGUGCCGGAGCUAACGCGUUAAACGCGCCGCCUGGGGAGUACGGUCGCAAGAUUA
This 843-nucleotide ribosomal RNA is filed under the name uncultured bacterium. RNAcentral's name for it is "bacterial SSU rRNA". It matches the Rfam family "Bacterial small subunit ribosomal RNA", at positions 26 to 896 of the family's 1533-position model. The record is from RNAcentral.